CCUACGGGGGGCAGCAGUGAGGAAUAUUGGUCAAUGGGCGGGAGCCUGAACCAGCCAAGUCGCGUGAGGGAAGACGGUCCUAUGGAUUGUAAACCGCGUUAGGCGGGGAGCAAGGCCGGGCACGUGUGCCCGGAGGGAGAGUACCCGCAGAAGAAGCAGCGGCUAACUCCGUGCCAGCAGCCGCGGGAAUACGGGGGAUGCGAGCGUUAUCCGGAUUGAAUGGGUUGAAAGGGUGCGUAGGCGGAUGUUUAAGUCAGCGGUAAAAUGUCCGGGCUCAACCCGGGCCGGCCGUUGAAACUGGGGAUCUUGAGUGGGCGAGAGGUAUGCGGAAUGCGUGGUGUAGCGGU
RNAcentral lists this ribosomal RNA (347 nucleotides) under uncultured bacterium. RNAcentral describes it as "partial 16S ribosomal RNA". It matches the Rfam family "Bacterial small subunit ribosomal RNA", at positions 338 to 682 of the family's 1533-position model. The record is from RNAcentral.